This 694-nucleotide ribosomal RNA is filed under the name uncultured bacterium. RNAcentral's name for it is "bacterial SSU rRNA". It matches the Rfam family "Bacterial small subunit ribosomal RNA", at positions 32 to 715 of the family's 1533-position model. The record is from RNAcentral.
AACGCUAGCUACAGGCUUAACACAUGCAAGUCGAGGGGCAGCAUGGUCUUAGCUUGCUAAGGCCGAUGGCGACCGGCGCACGGGUGAGUAACACGUAUCCAACCUGCCGUCUACUCUUGGACAGCCUUCUGAAAGGAAGAUUAAUACAAGAUGGCAUCAUGAGUCCGCAUGUUCACAUGAUUAAAGGUAUUCCGGUAGACGAUGGGGAUGCGUUCCAUUAGAUAGUAGGCGGGGUAACGGCCCACCUAGUCUUCGAUGGAUAGGGGUUCUGAGAGGAAGGUCCCCCACAUUGGAACUGAGACACGGUCCAAACUCCUACGGGAGGCAGCAGUGAGGAAUAUUGGUCAAUGGGCGAGAGCCUGAACCAGCCAAGUAGCGUGAAGGAUGACUGCCCUAUGGGUUGUAAACUUCUUUUAUAAGGGAAUAAAGUGGGUCACGUGUGACUUUUUGCAUGUACCUUAUGAAUAAGGACCGGCUAAUUCCGUGCCAGCAGCCGCGGUAAUACGGAAGGUCCGGGCGUUAUCCGGAUUUAUUGGGUUUAAAGGGAGCGUAGGCCGGAGAUUAAGCGUGUUGUGAAAUGUAGAGGCUCAACCUCUGCACUGCAGCGCGAACUGGUCUUCUUGAGUACGCACAACGUGGGCGGAAUUCGUGGUGUAGCGGUGAAAUGCUUAGAUAUCACGAAGAACUCCGAUUG